GCGGGGUCACACCUGCACGUGUAGCGGGGACGGGUAGCUUGCUCCCUAGCCUAACGGCGGACGGGUGAGUAAUGCUUAGGAAUCUGCCUAUUAGUGGGGGACAACGUUUCGAAAGGAACGCUAAUACCGCAUACGUCCUACGGGAGAAAGCAGGGGAUCAUUUGACCUUGUGCUAAUAGAUGAGCCUCAAGUCGGAUUAGCUAGUUGGUGGGGUAAAGGCCUACCAAGGCGACGAUCUGUAGCGGGUCUGAGAGGAUGAUCCGCCACACUGGGACUGAGACACGGCCCAGACUCCUACGGGAGGCAGCAGUGGGGAAUAUUGGACAAUGGGCGCAAGCCUGAUCCAGCCAUGCCGCGUGUGUGAAGAAGGCCUUAUGGUUGUAAAGCACUUUAAGCGAGGAGGAGGAGCUUCAGGUUAAUACCCUGGAUGCUUGGACGUUACUCGCAGAAUAAGCACCGGCUAACUCUGUGCCAGCAGCCGCGGUAAUACAGAGGGUGCAAGCGUUAAUCGGAUUUACUGGGCGUAAAGCGUGCGUAGGCGGCUAAUUAGUCAAAUGUGAAAUCCCCGAGCUUAACUUGGGAAUUGCAUUCGAUACUGGUUAGCUAGAGUAUGGGACGAGGAUGGUAGAAUUCCAAGGUGUACCAGGUGAAUGCGUAGAGAUCUGGAAGGAAUACCGAAUGGCCGACGCAGCCAUCUUGGCUAUACUUGGACCGAGGUCCAAGCAUGGGGCGCAACGCUUAUCCCG
Molecule: ribosomal RNA, 746 nt
Filed under: uncultured Acinetobacter sp.
Lineage: Bacteria; Pseudomonadati; Pseudomonadota; Gammaproteobacteria; Moraxellales; Moraxellaceae
Description: bacterial SSU rRNA
Rfam family: Bacterial small subunit ribosomal RNA
Source: RNAcentral